AAGUCGUAACAAGGUUUCCGUAGGUGAACCUGCGGAAGGAUCAUUAACACGUAUCCAAACGUAAAAAACCCCCCCCGUGAACAAUCAAACCUGCUCUUGUAACCCGCGUAGUUCGCAAUCUCUGGUAAAUCAUAGCCCGGAAAGUAGCUUGUAUUACAUUGAGCUUCACAUUAAACUGUGGGUUUAUAAGGGGGCAUGGGGACCCUUUGGCAUAGCUCCUGCCCGAGUGUACGGUCUACAAGAAUCGUUGAAGCGCUAUCCUUGCACAAUCAGUGACACUUUCAGACACUAACUGCUUGGGGAAACAAUGCCUAUGAAACUACCGCUCGAUUGUAACUGUUCCAAUGUUCUCACGUAGCCAGAGGUCUCUGAAUCAAAUUGGGUAAAAAAACCGAACAACUGUUAACAAUGGAUAUCUUGGUUCUC
Molecule: unclassified non-coding RNA, 426 nt
Filed under: fungal sp.
Lineage: Eukaryota; Fungi
Description: partial internal transcribed spacer region
Rfam family: Eukaryotic small subunit ribosomal RNA (bases 1-46)
Source: RNAcentral